Molecule: small nuclear RNA, 147 nt
Organism: Pongo abelii (Sumatran orangutan)
Lineage: Eukaryota; Metazoa; Chordata; Mammalia; Primates; Hominidae
Gene: U2
Rfam family: U2 spliceosomal RNA
About the family: U2 is a small nuclear RNA (snRNA) component of the spliceosome (involved in pre-mRNA splicing). Complementary binding between U2 snRNA (in an area lying towards the 5' end but 3' to hairpin I) and the branchpoint sequence (BPS) of the intron results the bulging out of an unpaired adenosine, on the BPS, which initiates a nucleophilic attack at the intronic 5' splice site, thus starting the first of two transesterification reactions that mediate splicing.
Source: Ensembl
AUCCUUUCUUGGCCUUUGUGCUAAGAUCAAAUGCAGUAUCUGUUCUUAUCAGUUUAAUAAAUCACACCAAUAUUUCCACUACUGUUUUUACACAGUUUAUUCAGAAGUUAAAAUGUGGGCAUUUUCCCCUGAAACAAAUCAUCCCCU